ACGAUGAAGAGUUUGAUCCUGGCUCAGGAUGAACGCUAGCGGCAGGCUUAACACAUGCAAGUCGAGGGGUAUAGUUUUUCGGAACUAGAGACCGGCGCACGGGUGCGUAACGCGUAUGCAAUCUACCUUUUACAGGGGGAUAGCCCAGAGAAAUUUGGAUUAAUACCCCAUGGUAUAUGGACUUCGCAUGAAGUUUAUAUCA
Molecule: non-coding RNA, 202 nt
Organism: Flavobacterium sp.
Lineage: Bacteria; Pseudomonadati; Bacteroidota; Flavobacteriia; Flavobacteriales; Flavobacteriaceae
Source: Rfam